Long non-coding RNA from Heterocephalus glaber (naked mole-rat), 316 nucleotides. RefSeq lists it as uncharacterized. The record is from RefSeq and is a predicted model, not a curated record. NCBI's taxonomy places the organism in Eukaryota, Metazoa, Chordata, Mammalia, Rodentia, Bathyergidae.
UUCUAAACCUUUUUUGGUUCUGGGGGCUCCCCUGUGGGCGGAUGGGUUUUUAUUUUGUCUUAUUUCUCAUUGCUCAAUUGCACUAAGAUGAAUUUAAAAGUCUUAGGGUUUCUCCUCUCAACAGGACCAGGAGAGCUGCUGCUGAAUUUCCAGCCAAGUGGAUUGGCAACAUCACGUGCUGAAGGUCCUGAGCUACCUCGAGCUUACACUCCACGAACUUACUAGGUGGAGCCUCUUUUCAUACUUAUAUCUUCAGUGCCAGGCCCAGGUAGCUUUGGAAUGUUGACUGGAGAUGGAGGAUAAGGGAUCCAGCCCU